This 206-nucleotide ribosomal RNA is filed under the name uncultured bacterium. RNAcentral's name for it is "partial 16S ribosomal RNA". It matches the Rfam family "Bacterial small subunit ribosomal RNA", at positions 568 to 774 of the family's 1533-position model. The record is from RNAcentral.
CAUGUAGGCGGCUUAAUAAGUCGAGCGUGAAAAUGCGGGGCUCAACCCCGUAUGGCGCUGGAGACUGUUAGGCUUGAGUGCAGGAGAGGAAAGGGGAAUUCCCAGUGUAGCGGUGAAAUGCGUAGAUAUUGGGAGGAACACCAGUGGCGAAGGCGCCUUUCUGGACUGUGUCUGACGCUGAGAUGCGAAAGCCAGGGUAGCGAACG